GACGAACGCUGGCGGCGUGCCUAAUACAUGCAAGUAGAACGCACAGUUUAUACCGUAGCUUGCUACACCAUAGACUGUGAGUUGCGAACGGGUGAGUAACGCGUAGGUAACCUGCCUGGUAGCGGGGGAUAACUAUUGGAAACGAUAGCUAAUACCGCAUAAUAUUAAUUAUUGCAUGAUAAUUAAUUGAAAGGUGCAAUUGCACCACUACCAGAUGGACCUGCGUUGUAUUAGCUAGUAGGUGAGGUAACGGCUCACCUAGGCGACGAUACAUAGCCGACCUGAGAGGGUGAUCGGCCAAACUGGGACUGAGACACGGCCCAGACUCCUACGAGAGGCAGCAGUAGGGAAUCUUCGGCAAUGGACGAAAGUCUGACCGAGCAACGCCGCGUGAGUGAAGAAGGUUUUCGGAUCGUAAAGCUCUGUUGUAAGAGAAGAACGGGUGUGAGAGUGGAAAGUUCACACUGUGACGGUAUCUGACCAGAAAGGGACGGCUAACUACGUG
Molecule: ribosomal RNA, 505 nt
Filed under: uncultured bacterium
Lineage: Bacteria
Description: partial 16S ribosomal RNA
Rfam family: Bacterial small subunit ribosomal RNA
Source: RNAcentral